AGAGUUUGAUCCUGGCUCAGAAUGAACGCUGGCGGCGUGCUUAACACAUGCAAGUCGAACGAGAAAGGGAUUGCUUGCAAUCCUGAGUAGAGUGGCGCACGGGUGAGUAACACGUAGAUAAUCUACCUUCGAUUUUGGGAUAACCAUCCGAAAGGAUGGCUAAUACCGGAUAAGGUUUUAAUACGCAAGUAUAGGAAUGAAAGUAUGCCUCUUCUUGAAAGCAUAUGAUUGGAGAUGAGUCUGCGGACCAUUAGCUUGUUGGUAGGGUAAAGGCCUACCAAGGCUACGAUGGUUAGCUGGUCUGAGAGGAUGAUCAGUCACACUGGAACUGGAACACGGUCCAGACUCCUACGGGAGGCAGCAGUGAGGAAUUUUGCGCAAUGGGGUAACCCCUGACGCAGCAACGCCGCGUGAGUGAAGAAGGCCUUUGGGUCGUAAAGCUCUGUCAACUGGGAAGAAGUUACAACAAUCUAAUAGGUAGUUGUAUUGACGGUACCAGUGGAGGAAGCGCCGGCUAACUCCGUGCCAGCAGCCGCGGUAAUACGGGGGGCGCAAGCGUUAUUCGGAAUUAUUGGGCGUAAAGGGCGUGUAGGCGGUCUUAUCGGUCAGAUGUGAAAGCCCAGGGCUCAACCCUGGACGUGCAUUUGAAACAGUAAGACUUGAGUACUGGAGAGGAAAGCGGAAUUCCUGGUGUAGAGGUGAAAUUCGUAGAUAUCAGGAGGAACACCGAUGGCGAAGGCAGCUUUCUGGACAGAAACUGACGCUGAUGCGCGAAGGCGUGGGUAGCGAACAGGAUUAGAUACCCUGGUAGUCCACGCAGUAAACGAUGUACACUAAGUGUAGGUGAUAUUAAAAUUGUCUGUGCCGCAGCUAACGCAUUAAGUGUACCGCCUGGGGAGUACGGCGCAAGAUAAAACUCAGAAAGGAAUAGACGGGGGCCGCCCACAAGCGGU
RNAcentral lists this ribosomal RNA (953 nucleotides) under uncultured Desulfotignum sp. Its description in RNAcentral is "bacterial SSU rRNA". It matches the Rfam family "Bacterial small subunit ribosomal RNA", at positions 8 to 933 of the family's 1533-position model. Lineage: Bacteria; Pseudomonadati; Thermodesulfobacteriota; Desulfobacteria; Desulfobacterales; Desulfobacteraceae. The record is from RNAcentral.